CGAGUGAUCUGCUCAUUCUUUUGCAGGUAAACAACGUAUCCUGGAAGAAGCUGUGGGACGUGUUUCGAAAGGAAAUGGAAAUUCAUCGAUUGUGCCGACAUCCAAACAUUUUAGAGUUGUUGGGCUGCUUCUCCGAUGAGACGCGCUACUGUCUGGUCUAUCCUUACAUGUCAAAGGGGUCGCUCUUCCACAGACUCCAUCAUCAGAACAGUGGGCCCCCUUUGUCCUGGCAAGAACGUCUCGCCGUCAUCAACGGGAUCGCCAAGGCCUUACAUCACCUCCAUACGGCCCAACCAUGCGCAGUCAUCUGUGGGAAUCUUUCCAGGUACGUUCUCACUUAUGCUUCACGAUGUCCU
Long non-coding RNA from Hippocampus comes (tiger tail seahorse), 356 nucleotides. RefSeq lists it as uncharacterized. NCBI's taxonomy places the organism in Eukaryota, Metazoa, Chordata, Actinopteri, Syngnathiformes, Syngnathidae. The transcript has 3 exons. The record is from RefSeq and is a predicted model, not a curated record.